This 4440-nucleotide long non-coding RNA is filed under the name Nicotiana tabacum (common tobacco). RNAcentral's name for it is "long non-coding RNA (NTAB_LNC017800)". Lineage: Eukaryota; Viridiplantae; Streptophyta; Magnoliopsida; Solanales; Solanaceae. The record is from RNAcentral.
CUACUCUUCUGCAUAUAUUUUUGUGUACAGAUUCAAGUAUUUCUUAUUAGUUCCGCUAUUAGCUGAGACUGUUUACUGCUGUACGGAGACUUCAAGGUACAUUUAUCGCGUCCGCAGACUUCGGAGUCCCCUUCUAUUCUCCCCUAUGUCAGUUACCUUUUGUACUUCUUUUAUUAGACUUUGGUGUAUAGAGAUACUAGUUUUCUUAUGUUGUUUGUGACUUACGAUAUUCCAGGUUUUGAGAAUACUGUAUAUUACUAGAGUGUUGGUUAUUGUAGACGCCGAGCGGUAUUGUUACCAGUUAUUUAGUUAUAUGUUGUAGAUAUUUAUUAAGUUUUACUUCUAUUUUUAUUAUUUUUGCAUUUUAUUAGACUUACCUAGUUGUAGAGAGUAGGUGCCGUCACGAGUCUUACGGAGAGGGAGAAUUGGGUCGAGACAGCUAUACUUCAACGUAUUCGGUGGAGUUCGUGUCAGAUUUGCAGAGGCUUUGCCUUGAAUAACUGGACCUCUUUCACCGUAAGAAACAUUACCGUCUUCGAUUUUGAUUAUGAUACUUUGUAUCUCCGUACUCCUUUCCUGCUUUGGAUCCUUAAUCUCUCAAAAAUCUUAUCCCUAAAUCUUUGCUUGUUUUUUUUUUCAAUCUUCAUUCUGUUCUCAGAUCUGUAUUUCAAUAACUGUUUUAUGUAUUCAUUCGUGUUCAUUCAUAGAUCUCUCGAGUUUCGAAGUAGUUUCUAUAUAUUUCAAUUUUUAGAUGUAGAAUUUUGGAGUUUUGAGUUGUGGAGGUAGCUUAAAAUCAUUGCUUAAUUCAAUUUGAAGGAGGUUUUCUGGAAUUGGUUUGAAAUUUGAAGGUUUUGCAAAUUAGGACUUUUUAAAAUUUGUUCCCAACUGUUAGGUACAUGUAACUCCAUAUCAUAGCUAUUCCUUGGAGUUUAGACAAUGUUUUGUAGCAAUUUGAUAGGAUUGUUGUUGUGUGCGUGGACUUGGUGGUAGGCUUGAGUUUUGUGGGUUAUAUGGGGAGGAGGAUAGGGCAAGGUGAGAUUUGUUUCUUUCUUGCAUAAACCUCUCAACUUAUCUUGCAACCCCUGAAACAUGGAAAACAUAGCAAUUGUGGUUGCGUCCUGAAUUGUUCUACUCUCACGCCUCUCUUUACUUCUGACAUAGGCCAAAAAAUACUUACAAUAACUUAGUUGUAGACAAUUCUUUCUUUAAAGAACUCAAAGGACUGUUAAAGAAAUAUAAAUGCAUAGCGUAUAGGUAUUCAUGCUAAAUAUAAAAUAUUUUCUUGUGUUUAUGCACUUUGUGUUCUGCCAUAGUUUCUCACUUUGAAUAUUAUUGUCUGCAUUGCAAUUGUAAGGUACAUCUAUCUUCACAUUAUGUUGUUUAUGCUAAGAUCUCAGGCUACUGAAGAUGACAUUACUGAUGUUUCAGUUUGGUAAUAACAUAUUCUCAUAAUCUUUCCAACUCAUUCACUAGAAAAGAGUAAAAAGGGAGAUUUGAGUAUUUGCAAUGUUAUCUCAUUGACUUCAUAUGAAGCCAAGGCAGAAAGGUUACCGGACGGAUACGACUAAGGCUAGCGAAUUUUGUUUUGCAUUGUGUCUAAGACCAGUUAUUGAACUUUAUCUAAUUGUGCUCAGAAAAAUGAAGCAUGGGUCCAGGAAGUGACCAGAAUCCAGAUACAUGUGUUAAAAGCACAUGUACUUUAUACCUCUUCUUUCUUUUAUUUUUUCAGUUUUUUUUUUUCAAUUGUUUUGCUUUCGUUCUAUUUCUUCUAUUUCUUUUUAAAAAAUUUAUCCAUCCGAUGUGUUCGUGUGGUUCAUUUUUUCUGUGAGUUUAGGAAACACGACAUAGACAACGUUAUUUGAAUUUGAUGCUGAACUUACAUGUUCUGCAAAUAUUUAAGAGUGUGCAAAGAUCUUAACUUAUAUCCGAAGCGUUCUGAUAAUCUUGACUUCUUAGAGGUUGGAGUUUUAUGGAGCUGUUUUAUUUUUCCUUUACAGAUUUGAUAUUAUUAGAGCUCUAUUAGUAGCUUGGCUUGAAAAAAACUAAUUGAAAUAUAUAAAUCCUACUUGUAACUGGUAGAGAGCAGAUUAAGAAUUUGUAGCCAUUUGUUUUCUCUCAAUAUUUUUGUUAUUUAAGAUGUUGCACUAAAUAUUUAAUGUGAAGAAGCUUCAUUGUAUUUUCCACAUGAUAGAUAGUGAGCUUUCAAUUGCAGAUGAACUUUCAGCCUAGAGUUUUUAUCACUAUAAGAGUACUCCCAGAUGGCGAAAGAGAACUCAAACAUGUGAGAUUCAGGUUAGUUUCAUUUCACUAGUUAUAUCAAAUUAGAGAACUAAAAUAGGUAUAUUUGCUUGCAUUUGUGCUAUUGGGGGGAUAGGCCUACUAGCGAAGUCUAGUUGUGCAGGUGGAGCUCUAAGAAUACUGUCAAAAUGAUAGCCUCAAAAUGUUAUCAUUGAAGUUGCACCACCAUCCAUUUUGAUAUUAAGUGCUAGCAUUCCAGUGAAGUUUUCAUCAUUUCAAUCUGUUUAUAUGUAUUUCAGAAAUUAUGUUUAGUUACUUACCCAUUUUUAUAAUGCUCUGAUAGUAAGAAGAAGAACGACAAGAAAGAACAACAUUUAUAUGCCAUGUGAACUUGAUUUUUCAUGUACCUUUUCAAUAAAGUUCCAAGUUUGAUAGAAAUCUUUUGAAGUUUUAAUGUUAAAAUUCGUUUGUUCUGUGCAAUCAAUUGGUCUAAAUUUCAACUUCCACUUCAAACACCUAAUCCAGUAUGAUAUUGCAUAACUAUCGAUUGGUUUCUUUCUAAUUUUUAAUUUCAUUUUUAAUGUGUAGGAAAAUAUGGGUGAUAGCAAUUGGAUAUGGCGGACAAAAGUUAAUUGAUCUAUUGGAGUACAUGAUAAAGACUUUUUGAGUAAUUGUGAUGUUUAUUAUUAUGAUACUAUAGGAAAACAUUCAGUUUAUAGAGUUCGUUGUUAGUGCACAUGUUGAAAUAUUGUUUAUUAGUAUGUAUAGAAUACGAAAUAUGUUUCUGUUAUAAAAUAAAAGCAAUUUAGUGAAACAUGAACAAGACAUGUUGUUAUGAAAUAAAAGUAUUUUAGUAAAACAUGAACAAGAAAUGGAGAUAGAGAGAAUGAAGAGAUUUUCUUCUUCAAUUGUGUGUAUUUUCUUAUUUAUUUCAAAGCCUUUAUAUAGGUAUGAAAAGUGAAGAAAAAUAUGUCAUUGAAUAUGUCAUUAAGCAUAGAAAUAUGUCAUUGAAUAUGUCAUUAAGCAUUUGAGAAGAUCAUGGAGGAAGAGUAGACAUCCACCAUAAUUUAAUUUUUCUUAUAACACUCCUCCUUGGAUGGUCAUAGAUAAUGUGCCUCGUUAAAACCUUAUUAGGAAAAACAUCCUAUGGGAAAAAAAAUUUUAGUGAAGGAAAAAGAGUACACAUGUUUAGAAAUAUACCUUUUGGUUGUCUCGUAAAAAACCUUGCAAGAAAAACACAGUGGGACAAAACCUUGUAAGAAAAAAGAGUACAACACGUAUUAACUCCCCCUGAUGAGAGUAUCAAUUCACAUCCUUAGUCUUCGCAUCCCAAUCUUGUACACUAAUUUCUUGAAGGUUGCCGUCGGUAGAGAUCUGGUGAACAGAUCAGCCAUAUUAUCACUUGAACGGAUCGGUUGCACAUUGGUAUCACCAUUCUUUUGAAGAUCAUGUGUGAAAAAUAACUUUGGUGAAAUUUGCAAGUACUAUCCCCUUUAUGAAUCCUCUCUUCAAUUGGGCUAUGCAUGCUGCAUUGUCUUCAUACAAAAUUGUGGGUAGUUUGUCACACUUCAAACUACAUUUGUCUCGAAUAAGGUGUAUUAUAGACCUCAACGAUACACAUUCUCGACUUGCUUUAUGAAUAGCAAUUAUCUCAGCAUGAUUAGAUAAAGUAGCCACGAUUGAUUGCUUAGUCGAUCGCCAAGAUAUGGCAGUGCCUCCAUAUGUAAACACAUAGCUUAUUUGAGAUCGAGUCUUGUGUGGGUCAUAUAAAUACCCAGUAUCGGCAUAACCAACAAGAUCGGGACUGCAAUCAUUGCCAUAAAAUAAUCUCAUAUCGGUAGUCCCUUUUAGAACACAUUUAUACCUCCACUGGCUUUAUACUUUUAGGUUUUGGGACUAUUUGUCCAACUUCAUAUUUUUCAGGCGAAAUCAAUUUUCAUUGCGUUAUUUUCAUUUGGCCAAUCAUUUAUCUGUUCAAAUUUCAUGAUAGAUUUGAGCUCAAGAUCCUCGUCAAUAUUAAUAAUAUUGAGCGCUACAUUAUAUUAACAAUAUCGUCGACGAUCAUUUUAUAUCAGUUCUACUAUCAUCCAAUAAAGAUAUAACUUAUUGAGAUCUCUUUAUCUUAUUAUUUUCAGGUACCCGAGCCUCUACCAUGAGGUCUUAUGAAGUGUUAUGUCGUGGUGCUCUUCUAGAGAACUUGCC